UACGUAGGGUGCGAGCGUUGUCCGGAAUUAUUGGGCGUAAAGAGCUCGUAGGCGGUGUGUCACGUCGGCCGUGAAAACCUGCAGCUUAACUGUGGGCGUGCGGUCGAUACGGGCAUCACUGGAGUUCGGCAGGGGAGACUGGAAUUCCUGGUGUAGCGGUGAAAUGCGCAGAUAUCAGGAGGAACACCGGUGUCGAAGGCGGGUCUCUGGGCCGAUACUGACGCUGAGGAGCGAAAGCAUGGGGAGCGAACAGG
This 254-nucleotide ribosomal RNA is filed under the name uncultured bacterium. RNAcentral describes it as "partial 16S ribosomal RNA". It matches the Rfam family "Bacterial small subunit ribosomal RNA", at positions 524 to 776 of the family's 1533-position model. The record is from RNAcentral.